Molecule: RNA transcript, 4642 nt
Organism: Vitis vinifera (wine grape)
Lineage: Eukaryota; Viridiplantae; Streptophyta; Magnoliopsida; Vitales; Vitaceae
Gene name: protein TRAUCO
Exons: 4
Source: RefSeq, a predicted model, not a curated record
AAACCAAAUACAGGUUUGGAGAUGGCCGAGAAACCCUAAAGCCCAAUAUUGAGAAAGCCCAGUAAAAACAGAACCCCAAAAAUGCAACACUCACCCCUCUGAUCUGUAACUCCUGAUCUCCACUACUGCCACUGCUCUCCCCCUGUGAAAUCCAAUUACAGAAACCCUAACAAAAUCUAACCCUAAAAGUCUUCUCUCUGUCUCCACCAUGGACGACCUACGGGCCACCUACAGAGACGAAGACGAAGAAGACGACGAUUGCGCCACCACUGCAACGGCUACUGCAAACGGCGUAAAGCAUGAACCACCCGAAGACCACGACCACUCCGACGAAUCGAAGCCCUCUUCGGAUGAUGAUGAGGAAGACCCGCCUCCCAAGAAGCAGAAGCAACUCUCCUCCCUCAAUGCGCCAACACUGCCGGAGGAGAACCAAGCAACGGAGCAAGCCAUCUCGAUAGCCGCAGCAGCGGUGGGGGCGACGGAGACGCCGAAAAUUGCGAAGAAGGCGAAGAAGAAGAGCAAUAAUGUAUGGACGAAAUCGACCUCGAGGAAGGGGAAGAAGAAGGCGAAGGCAACUGCGAAUAAUGCCCCAACGGAAGACCCAGUUUUAAUAACCCCAGUCCCAAGGUUUCCUGACAAGAAUGACGAUGCUCCGGAUAUGAAAAUAUGCCUCUCGAAGAUUUACAAGGCGGAGAAAGUGGAGCUGAGCGAUGAUCGAAUGCGUGCUGCGAGCGGGAAAGGUUAUAGAAUGGUUAGGGCUACUAGAGGGGUUGUGGAAGGAGCUUGGUAUUUUGAAAUCAGGGUUUUGAAGUUGGGGGAGACAGGGCAUACGAGGCUUGGAUGGUCGACGGAGAAGGGGGACUUGCAGGCGCCAGUAGGGUACGAUGCAAAUAGUUUCGGGUAUAGGGAUAUAGAUGGGACUAAGGUGCACAAGGCAUUGAGGGAGACGUAUGGGGGGGAAGGGUAUGUGGAGGGUGAUGUUAUUGGGUUUUAUAUAAAUUUGCCGGAUGGUGCAAUGUAUGCUCCCAAACCACCGCAUUUAGUUUGGUAUAAGGGGCAGAGAUAUGUUUGCGCAACCGACACCAAGGAAGAUCCUCCAAAAGUGGUGCCUGGAAGUGAGAUAUCUUUCUUCAAGAAUGGGGUAUGCCAAGGAGUUGCUUUCAAGGAUCUAUGUGGUGGUCGAUAUUAUCCUGCUGCUUCAAUGUAUACUCUACCCAAUCAACCACAUUGUGUGGUAAAGUUCAACUUUGGUCCUGAUUUUGAAUUCUUUCCGGAGGAACUUAAUGGACGCCCAGUCCCAAGGCCCAUGAUCGAAGUUCCUUAUCAUGGGUUUGACAGCCAAACUGAAAAUGGUGAUAAGGGGUUUCAUCCAAAUGUGCGUUUUGUUGAAUUGGUCAUGAGCUAGGUUGAAAAAUUGCAGAGGUAGCAGAACUAAUCAGUUCAAAAAUGAGGAAAAUGCUCAGGUAUGGUACUAAUUCCUAAUGAAAUCAAUUUCACGUCUAUCUGGAAUCUUUUAGGCAUCAGAUAAAGACAUCGUAUCAUGGGGUCUGAUAGGGCAGUAAGAGAAUUAUGUUGGCUUGGAGUAAUAGAAAAUUUGUGAGGUUAGUAAGCAUUUGGGUUUGAGGUUAUGAAGAGGAAAAUUUGGAUUUUUUUUAUGGACAAUGAUCUAGAUGGGGGUAGAAGGUUCUUGCUUGGUAAAAAAAAGGAUAUGCGCAAGUUCUUAGAAAAAUAAGUGGCUGCAAAAGCUUUCCUUUUUGGUGAAUUAUGGAGGGUGUAAUAGAUAGGACUUGUUGUUCUAUACUCAGGUCUAUCAUUGGUGUUGAUGAAGCUUAGAAUUAUUCCUUGGAAUGUUUGAGGUAUAAACAAUAAGGGAAAGCAUAAGUCCAUUGAAUCUUUUCUAAGGUCAAAUAAGAUUAAUUUGGUGUGCAUUCAAGGAACGAAGAUGGAUUAUAUGUCUUUGUUUUUGGUUGGAAGCUAUUGGGUUUGCUUCUUGGAGUGAGGAAUUACUAAAUGUGAGGAUUUUUUUUUUUUUUUCUAAGCCGGGGUUUGGUUUCUGGUAUUUUUUGAUAAGAGGGUGCUGGGUUUAUUAGGAAUGGAGGAGAGGGUGCUGGAUUUAUUGGGAAUGGAGGAGAGAGUGCGUACUCUCUUUCUCAUCGUUCUAAGAAUUGUGAAGAUGGAUUUUAGUGGGUAAUUCAGGAAUGCAUGACCAAUCUUAAGCACAACAAGGAUGGAUAUUUGGUAAGGGUAACAUUAGAGGGCUGUGGAAUGAUCCAGGUGCAUUUUGAUAGUUUUAAUGUGUUCUAUUUUUCUCUUGAUAGAUGGAAUUGUUUUGAGGAUCUCCUUAGCUAUGAGAGACUCUUCAAACUUCAUUGAAGGUUUCAAUUUAUUGGAUAUUUCUUCUUCUAUUGGAACAUACACUCGGCAUGGUAGUCAAAGAAGGUAGUCAUUUGUCUUAUUGGAUAUUUCUUGCUCUCUAUGAAUUGGGGAGAGCAUUUUUCUAAUGUUUAAGAAAGUUUCUUUCACAGCCUAUAUUAUCAUUUACCUUUCUCUUUUAUUGGUCAGAAAUGGAGUUUCUUUUUAGAUUUUGGAGUAUGUGGUUGAACAAAAUUGGUUGUGGGGAUUUAGCUAAGAAUUGCUUGUGGAGCUAUGAGUUUAGUGGUUGAUGGAGUUUUACUUUUGUUGUAGAGAAAAAGGAGUUGAAGGAUGAUUUAGAAAAAAAAUGAAUUACAAUUGUUUGGAAAUGUAUCUAUUCAUAAAGCUUGUGCUUUGGAGUAAAUUAGGUUUUUGGAUAGUAAGAAGAAUGGGCUUUUGUGUAUUGAGGAGUUCGAGCCUAGGUGUUCUAUGUUGGCAUUGAGGGGGCUGGCAUUAAAUUUAUUGGUGUGGCUAAUAGGGAAGGUUUAAUAAAAUUGUUUGAUGAGAAGGAGGUUUUGGUUCUUUAUUUGACUUGAUCAAUGACAAAACCCAUGUGUGGGUAAUUGGUUGAGAGAUCAUCAGCAAAAUUGUUGGCUUCAUUAUAAGGUGAUUUGAUGAGGUUCCAUAGUGACUUGCAUAUGCAUCUUUUGGUGCCUAGCAAAGGUGGCAAUGAGGACAUCAAGGGCCUUUGGCCCAUUAGUUUUUAGUUGGAUGUUUGUGUUUGUGUAAGAUGCUGACUAAUCAAUUUAAAACAAGGUUCAAAAUCUCGUCCAAGCUCAAUAUGAUUUGGUUGAGUCGUAUUCACUUGGUCCAUGUCCAAUACAAUAUUGAUAACCAAGUUUAGUAUUUUUUUGAAUUGCCAUGUGAAUUAGCCAACUCGGAGAUAACUUUAUAGUUUCGAGACAAUUCAUGACUCUGAAAUGUUGUAGAGAUUGGUGUUGAAGUGGGUGAUGGUUGUGAUGCCUUUUUCUCUCAAGCAUGGUGAUGGUGAACCUUCUCUUUGCCUUUAGGUAUUUUCCAAGAAUGUGGGAAGGAGAGGGAGGAGUACCAUUCCUUUGGGAUCUUCUUUAUUACCACUCCUUCAUCCAUGGCAUCUCACAAAGUGGGAAAUGAGUAUUACUGGGGUAAUGGGUAAUUACUAUUUGAAGGGGACAUUAUCUUAAAUGAACAACCCAUGGGAAUUGGGUCAUUGGGUUAAAUUGGCAAUGGGUAUGGAUAUUUGAUAGAAAUUUGGGCAUCUGUGCAUUUAGAUCAAGUUCAGAGAAGAAGGUGGUCUUUAGCAAAUCAAUGUUAUCUUUUCCAAGUGGAGGAAGAAUCUAUAGACCACAUCCUUUUGCACUGUGUAAAGGCGAGUUUUAUGAGGGUUGCUCUUUGCACUUUUCAGGGUGUCUUGGGUGCUUCCCUUAUUGGUUAGAGAGACACUUUUGGGUUAUUAUUGUUCGUUUGUGGGCAAAAAACGUAAGAAGAUUUAGAGAGUCGGGUCCUUAUGCAUCUUUUAGACGAUUUGGAAGGCAAGAAAUAAGAUUGUUUUCGAUGAUGAAGUGCUUUCGAUUUAAAGGUUAAAAAGUUAUUUUGUUUGCUUUCUUUGGUUGGAGACUAAAAUUUUUAUUAAUGCUGGUUCUUUGAUGGUAAUUGGUUUCUUUGAUUGGUUGGGCUCUUGUUGAGGGUGGUGAUGUUCUUGCGCCUCCUCUAUUGUAGAUCCUUCCCUUGUUGAGUGUAAUUCAACUUAGUUGAUUGUUGAUUUGCACCCCAUAGGGUAGGGUCUACAGGACUAGGAGUUGUCACACUCAAAGAUGUAAAAAAUACUUCCUAAAAUCAUUAUGAAACACACUUUUAAUAAAUGAUUCUUCCAAAAACCUUUUUAAUGAAAAUGCUUCAAUUGAAAGUGCUCCAAAUUGAAACACCCUGAGAUGUACAAAAUAUUCUUAAAAAUUAUGUUAAAAAAUUAAGUGCCCCUUUGGUAACACCUUACUUCAUGAUUGCCUAUGUCAUGCAACGUAACAUGCCAUGUUGAAGACAAGUUUAAAAGCGUGAGGUAUUUGCAGGGUUGAAUAGCAUGUUAGUGCAACAAUGACUUGGUAGUGAUUUAAGGGUGGUAGCACAUGUGCAGGCACAUGCAAGGUGCUGCAUGGCUAGCUUAAUUAAAUAAAGUGUGAGAUUUUAUCAGGUUGAGAUUUUUCCUUUGAAUAUGUGUAAAUGGCACUCCAAAGAUAUGACAUGGAGCUUCGGA